Molecule: ribosomal RNA, 253 nt
Filed under: uncultured bacterium
Lineage: Bacteria
Description: partial 16S ribosomal RNA
Rfam family: Bacterial small subunit ribosomal RNA
Source: RNAcentral
UACGUAGGGUGCGAGCGUUGUUCGGAAUUACUGGGCGUAAAGAGCUCGUAGGCGGUUUGUCGCGUUGUCCGUGAAAACUCACAACUCAAUUGUGGGCGUGCGGGCGAUACGGGCAGACUGGAGUACUGCAGGGGAGACUGGAAUUCCUGGUGUAGCGGUGGAAUGCGCAGAUAUCAGGAGGAACACCGGUGGCGAAGGCGGGUCUCUGGGCAGUAACUGACGCUGAGGAGCGAAAGCGUGGGGAGCGAACAGG